GACGAACGCUGGCGGCGUGCUUAAUACAUGCAAGUCGAACGGAAAGGCCCUGCUUUUGUGGGGUGCUCGAGUGGCGAACGGGUGAGUAACACGUGAGUAACCUGCCCUUGACUUUGGGAUAACUCCAGGAAACUGGGGCUAAUACCGGAUAGGAGCUCCUGCUGCAUGGUGGGGGUUGGAAAGUUUCGGUGGUUGGGGAUGGACUCGCGGCUUCUCAGCUUGUUGGUGGGGUAGUGGCUUACCAAGGCUUUGGCGGGUAGCCGGCCUGGGAGGGUGACCGGGCACAUAGGGACUGAGAUACGGCCCAGACUCCUACGGGAGGCAGAAGUGGGAAAUAUUGCACAAUGGGCGGAAGCCUGAUGCAGCAACGCCGCGUGCGGGAUGACGGCCUUCGGGUUGUAAACCGCUUUCGCCUGUAACGAAGCGUGAGUGACGGUAAUGGGUAAAGAAGCACCGGCUAACUACGUG
Molecule: ribosomal RNA, 468 nt
Filed under: uncultured bacterium
Lineage: Bacteria
Description: partial 16S ribosomal RNA
Rfam family: Bacterial small subunit ribosomal RNA
Source: RNAcentral